UAGCAUCGACGUUAGCAUCGAUGUUAGCAUCGACGUUAGCAUCAGCGCUAGC
Gadus morhua (Atlantic cod) is the source of this 52-nucleotide microRNA precursor. Lineage: Eukaryota; Metazoa; Chordata; Actinopteri; Gadiformes; Gadidae. The record is from Ensembl.